RNAcentral lists this ribosomal RNA (407 nucleotides) under uncultured bacterium. RNAcentral describes it as "bacterial SSU rRNA". The stretch from base 1 to 359 matches the Rfam family "Bacterial small subunit ribosomal RNA", at positions 1175 to 1533 of the family's 1533-position model. The record is from RNAcentral.
GGGGACGACGUCAAGUCAUCAUGGCCCAUACGGGUAGGGCUACACACGUGCUACAAUGGUCAGUACAGAGGGGAGUGAAGCGGCGACGUGGAGCAAAUCCUAGAAAGCUGGUCGUAGUCCGGAUUGGAGUCUGCAACCCGACUCCAUGAAGUCGGAAUCGCUAGUAAUCGCGAAUCAGCAUGUCGCGGUGAAUACGUUCCCGGGCCUUGUACACACCGCCCGUCACACCAUGGGAGUGGGUUGCACCAGAAGUAGAUAGUCUAACCUUAGGGGGGACGUUUACCACGGUGUGAUUCAUGACUGGGGUGAAGUCGUAACAAGGUAGCCGUAGGGGAACCUGCGGCUGGAUCACCUCCUUAAAUAUAAAGAAGGUCGACGAAUCAGAGAACCCACACAGUUUGUUUUCA